Molecule: long non-coding RNA, 1702 nt
Organism: Esox lucius (northern pike)
Lineage: Eukaryota; Metazoa; Chordata; Actinopteri; Esociformes; Esocidae
Exons: 3
Source: RefSeq, a predicted model, not a curated record
CCCUGCUCCUCCUCCUAGUCCUUGCUUUGGCCGCCUGGCACUUUGCCUGAUUAACAAUCAUUUGAUGCUUGCUGUUUAGGCAUGAAGUAUGUGACUACUUCAUUUGUAAAUUAUUCCUACAUUUUCUAUGAGAAUCUCUAUCAACUGUUUUUGUAGACUCGCUAGCCAACAAUGUAAAGCUAGACGUCUCUUGUCUUAGCGGGAAACAUUGAAAGUGAUCCUGAAAUUCGUCGAGACUCAUCCGAAUUAUUGGUGGGGAUGCGUCCCUACCCUCACACCCUACACCUGAGCCCGUGAUUUAUUCCACAGCUUCUACAUGGCAUUCUUUUGUCUGUCCGGUUGUGUGGUCCACUGUCCGGUUUUGUGGUCAGUCACAACAAUAAAGAAUGUAAGCAAACGGCAGUUGGCCCAGAACAGAGAAUAUAGAAUUUAAAUGCGCCCCAAGUGGAUGCGGGAAUUCUAUGAAUGACCAUCCAGAGAUUGACUGCAUCCCUCGGCCCUUUGUGCAGGUGGUAAAUGCGCUGCGAGCUGCCUGUCCGUACGGCUGGCACGCGGCUCGGACACACGUCAACACCACGCAGGGGAUGCAAUCACAGGUCUCCUCACAGUCCCCGAGUCCAUGAUAGAAGCCGGGAAGCGGACGGUACUAAACAGAACCAUGCCCACGCGGACCUCUUUGCAACCCCGGAUUAUCACAGGGGGAAAUUACCAGAGGGCCACCAAAAACAAAACAAAAAACACAAGAGAACUUAAGGGGAUCCCAGAACGAUUGGCUACUCUUGGAAUGUAAAAGAAAUUGACAUCGCUAGCGUCGAUAUCGACGGUGUUGACGUCGUCAUGGGUUGGUGGGCCUAUAAAAUAUGUAAACUCUGCGAGAAAGUUACAGUAGAUUGCGCAAGAUUAGUCUUGGUCCCACAUGGCGCUCUACAGCCUUACAGGGCCUGCUGAAAAGAAGUACACCAUUGUGAAAAGUGUGUGACUGUUGAUACUAUGUUCCAUGGUCUAACUACUGUAUAUGCAUUCCUGUUCUUUUGAUUCCGGUUGUACUGGCCUUACUGUUAUGUAGUCCCAAUGUUCUAUGGUAUCACUGUACAUAAUUCACACUCCUCAAGAGGCCUUAACAUUCUAUAGGCUUUCUGUUCUAUAGCCUUUCAGUUCAAUAGUCAUCAUGGUCAUACUGUUCAAAAGGCCAAAAUGUUCUAUAGUAUUACUGUUCUAUAGCCUCACUGCUCUAUAGUAUUACUGUUCUAUAGCCUUACUUUUCUGUAGUCUUGCUGUUUUACAGUCUUACAAUUCUACAUGUCUCACUUUUCUACAGCCUUACUGUUCUGUAGUCUUUUUGUUCACGGCUUACUAUGGACAUUAAAAUGGCCAGACUAAUAAAGCAGACAACACAAUGUAUACCCUGGCAGGAUGGUAUGGUAAUAAGAACUGAGCUUAUUAUUGACUUUUCAUACAUUACAUUUUCAUACAUACAUACAUUCCCCUUCCAAUAAUGAUGAGAAGACAGGUUAGAAGGUGUGUUUUAUGUGUGGCUUUGAUUUCUUUUGGUGUAAACGUGCAACUUGUGUUUUAAAUAACAUUUUGCCAGAAGCUUCUUACACCACAAAUGUAGAAUAACAGUGAAAUGCGCUCCAACAAUGCAGUCGUAAGACAGACUAUGUGAAUAAUGAAUAACAACUGUCAACAACAUGAUUGCAUU